Molecule: ribosomal RNA, 490 nt
Filed under: bacterium Monkoyo09
Lineage: Bacteria
Also listed under: 2 other names
Description: bacterial SSU rRNA
Rfam family: Bacterial small subunit ribosomal RNA
Source: RNAcentral
UCACUUCUGGAUGGACCUGCGGUGCAUUAGCUUGUUGGUGGGGUAAUGGCCUACCAAGGCGAUGAUGCAUAGCCGAGUUGAGAGACUGAUCGGCCACAAUGGGACUGAGACACGGCCCAUACUCCUACGGGAGGCAGCAGUAGGGAAUCUUCCACAAUGGGCGCAAGCCUGAUGGAGCAACACCGCGUGAGUGAAGAAGGGUUUCGGCUCGUAAAGCUCUGUUGUUAAAGAAGAACACGUAUGAGAGUAACUGUUCAUACGUUGACGGUAUUUAACCAGAAAGUCACGGCUAACUACGUGCCAGCAGCCGCGGUAAUACGUAGGUGGCAAGCGUUAUCCGGAUUUAUUGGGCGUAAAGAGAGUGCAGGCGGUUUUCUAAGUCUGAUGUGAAAGCCUUCGGCUUAACCGGAGAAGUGCAUCGGAAACUGGAUAACUUGAGUGCAGAAGAGGGUAGUGGAACUCCAUGUGUAGCGGUGGAAUGCGUAGAUAU